CCUACGGGAGGCAGCAGUGGGGAAUAUUGGGCAAUGGGCGCAAGCCUGACCCAGCAACGCCGCGUGAAGGAAGACGGCCUUCGGGUUGUAAACUUCUUUUGUCAGGGACGAAGCAAGUGACGGUACCUGACUAAUAAGCUACGGCUAACUACGGGCCAGCAGCCGCGGGAAUACGUAGGUGGCAAGCGUUAUCCGGAUUUACUGGGUGUAAAGGGCGUGUAGGCGGGACUGCAAGUCAGAUGUGAAAACCACGGGCUCAACCUGUGGCCUGCAUUUGAAACUGUAGUUCUUGAGUACUGGAGAGGCAGACGGAAUUCCUGGUGUAGCGGUGAAAUGCGUAGAUAUUAGGAAGAACACCGGUGGCGAAGGCAGUCUGCUGGACAGCAACUGACGCUGAGGCGCGAAAGCGUGGGGAGCAAACAGGAUUAGAUACCCGGGUAGUC
This 443-nucleotide ribosomal RNA is filed under the name uncultured bacterium. RNAcentral's name for it is "partial 16S ribosomal RNA". It matches the Rfam family "Bacterial small subunit ribosomal RNA", at positions 338 to 795 of the family's 1533-position model. The record is from RNAcentral.